This 374-nucleotide ribosomal RNA is filed under the name uncultured bacterium. RNAcentral's name for it is "bacterial SSU rRNA". It matches the Rfam family "Bacterial small subunit ribosomal RNA", at positions 28 to 403 of the family's 1533-position model. The record is from RNAcentral.
GACGAACGCUGGCGGCGUGCUUAACACAUGCAAGUCGAGCGGUAAGGCCCUUUCGGGGGUACACGAGCGGCGAACGGGUGAGUAACACGUGGGUGACCUGCCCUCAGCUCUGGGAUAAGCCUGGGAAACCGGGUCUAAUACUGGAUAUGACUCCAUGACGCAUGUUGUGGGGUGGAAAGCCUUGUGCGGCUGAGGAUGGGCCCGCGGCCUAUCAGCUUGUUGGUGGGGUGANGGGCCUACCAAGGCGACGACGGGUAGCCGGCCUGAGAGGGCGACCGGCCACACUGGGACUGAGACACGGCCCAGACUCCUACGGGAGGCAGCAGUGGGGAAUAUUGGACAAUGGCGAAAGCCUGACGCAGCGACGCCGCGUG